GUUUUGAGCAUCAUAUUUACCUCAAUUUCUAAUUUCUGUUAUAAACUCUAAGUUGACUAAUAAAAUAUUAUUCCUAUCUUUUGUUCAUUAGAGAUAGACUACUCAGUUGCCGAGUUGCCUGAAAGAUGGGAGAACAGGAAGAAAUGAAUGAAAAUGAAAAUGAAAAUCAAACUCUUGUUUUUUCAAACAAGACACAUCGAAGAGAAAUAUUGCAGAUGAUAAAUACUCCAUAAGGAAUCUUAAAUCAGCUCAGCAGCCUGGGAAAGGAUGGAGAAUAGCCUUAAAAAAAACAGCACCUAUAAAAAGAACUGGAUCAAAAGUAGAUGCCCGAUCACAUACCCACUGUGGUUGGGCUGAUAAAAAUAGCCACUUGCACAGAUUUAGUUCACUUCAAUGUCAGGCUUCCCUCCAACUACCCUGCCUCCCUCCCCCACCUUCAACUCGAUAAAUGAUUCCCAUGGCGGCGAACUUGGUGUUCAUAGCGGGUACUUUAGUGUCCUACACACCGAAGGACAGCCUGUAUCAGAUGCUGCAUUGAGAGGCAGCCAGUGGAAAAUGGAAAAAAUGACAUUGAUUGUGAAGAAACUGGGACAAAUGAAUUACUUCAUGAGUUUCUGCCUUAUUAUACACUCUGUAAGACUUUGCUAGAUUUAAAAAAAGGCCAUUCACUACAGCUCUUAAAACAUCAUUCCAUGCUAGUAUAGCACGGAAUUGGACCCAGGAGACAAGAUCAGAAAACAGAAGUAACAGGAACAAGAAGCAAUACCACUUAAUGCCUUUUUUGAGUAGUUCUGUGACACAUAACUGAGUAUCAAACCACCUGACUACAUGAAAGCCUUAUGAAUCAUGAUUUUUGAACAAUAUAUUUAGUUGACAACAUGUAAGUCCUCUCUCAUGCCUAUCUUUCAAUUUAACAAGUGAGAAGAAGUGUCAGAAUGGAAUCAGACUGAGAACAGAGUGUAGUAGGGACAUUUUCAAAAGCUCUGGAAUUGGGAGAGAAGCUGACCUUCAUUCUUUUCAUGGUUGUUCAACUGCCGUGGGUUCAGGUGAAGGAACAAUUACAUUGCAUUCUGCUCCUGUAGUUUUGGACUGGUUUUUUUUAUGCCUCUCAGAUUAGUUUUCUUUGCAUUUUUAGAUAUAUAAUCUUAGUAUUUGAAGUCUAAAAAGUGGGAAAAGACAUUGCUAAUGAUUUUAUUUAUGUAUACCACAUAAAACUAUGCUUUAAAAUUACUAGUUAAAAUCUG
RNAcentral lists this long non-coding RNA (1244 nucleotides) under Fukomys damarensis (Damara mole-rat). RNAcentral describes it as "lncRNA (ENSFDAG00000023415.1)". The record is from RNAcentral. Lineage: Eukaryota; Metazoa; Chordata; Mammalia; Rodentia; Bathyergidae.